GCUUAGCCUUAAACUUUGAUAGAGAAAUACAACCACUAUCCGCCCGGUUACUACGAGCACCAGCUUAAAACCCAAAGGACUUGGCGGUGCUUUAGAUCCACCUAGAGGAGCCUGUUCUAGAACCGAUAAUCCCCGUUAAACCUCACCCUCUCUUGUUUAUCCCGCCUAUAUACCGCCGUCGUCAGCUCACCCUGUAAAGGUCCAAUAGUAAACGGAACUAGCAUAGCUCAAAACGCCAGGUCGAGGUGUAGCAUAUGAGAGGGGAAGAAAUGGGCUACAUUUUUUGAUUUCAAAACAUUACGGAUAAUGUAAUGAAAAAGCAUUUUAAGGAGGAUUUAGCAGUAAGCAAUAAAUAGAGUGUAUUGCUGAAACUGGCCCUGAAGCGCGC
This 388-nucleotide ribosomal RNA is filed under the name Scaturiginichthys vermeilipinnis (red-finned blue-eye). Its description in RNAcentral is "partial 12S ribosomal RNA". It matches the Rfam family "Bacterial small subunit ribosomal RNA", at positions 794 to 1384 of the family's 1533-position model. Lineage: Eukaryota; Metazoa; Chordata; Actinopteri; Atheriniformes; Pseudomugilidae. The record is from RNAcentral.